CACGGAGGGUGCAAGCGUUAUUCGGAAUCACUGGGCGUAAAGCGCGCGUAGGCGGUCUCUUAAGUCAGAUGUGAAAGCCCGGGGCUUAACCCCGGAAGUGCAUUUGAAACUAAGAGACUUGAGUAUGGGAGAGGGAAGUGGAAUUCCUGGUGUAGCGGUGAAAUGCGUAGAUAUCAGGAUGAACACCGGUGGCGAUGGCGACUUCCUGGACCAAUACUGACGCUGAGGCGCGAAGGCGUGUGGAGCAAACAGG
This 253-nucleotide ribosomal RNA is filed under the name uncultured bacterium. Its description in RNAcentral is "partial 16S ribosomal RNA". It matches the Rfam family "Bacterial small subunit ribosomal RNA", at positions 524 to 776 of the family's 1533-position model. The record is from RNAcentral.